UAGUGCCAGUCUUCCUUCCAAAUCUUUUGAAUUGCCUGUCCUCACAAUAAGCCUAUGAAGUAUGUACUGUCCUGCAUUUUACAGUUGAGAAAACCAGCUUAUGGAAAUGAAGUGACUCAGCUGCAAGACGGUAAACCCAGGGCCCCCAGCUCUCAGUCGAAUGCUCUUUCCAUUGCAUCAUUACUUCACAUUGCUCAAUAUCAGUUCCUGGGUUAGCCUCCCUUCUACAUCCAAGGAAUAUUUCCAGGGGACUCACAUUGCCUCAGUUUCUCCUUUAUAUUAUGAAAGGAUGAAACCAACAGAUCAGUGUUUCUCAGUGUGGUCCACAGUCUAUUUGCAUCAGAAUUAUUCAGGCUAGGAAAUUUUUGUGAAGCUUCUCUUUGUCCUCAGAGUCUAGCAUUCAUUCAUCCAUUCAACUAUUACUGAGCAUCCUGGGUGCCAGCUGCUGUGCUUGGCCCCAGAGGGACACAGCAGACAUUGGGAUCCUCACCUUCAGAGCCAGGUGGGGACAAGUUAAGUAGUGGAGACAGAGAAGCAAACAGCUAAUAACAAGAGUGACACAUGCUCCAAAAGAGGAAGUGCAUGGAACUACGGAAGCCACUUUCUUUGGCAAAAUCUCAAUGAUCUGUUUUGAGAAUAAGCAUAGCACAUUGAAGGAUGAAUGGCAAAAAUGAGGCAUUAAGUGUAAACAGGAGCCAGAUGGCAAAGGGCCUACUCUAUAAAUAAAUUUGGAUUUUAUUCGAAGGUCAAUGGAAAACAACUGAAUAGUUUUAAGUACAGGAAUUAUUUGAUUUUUGUUUUUUAGUAUCAUGCUAGCUUCAGCAGGUAGAGCUGAUGGGAGGAGGUAAGACAGGAAGGAGCUGCAUAGUCCAGGUAAGAAGUGAAUAUUAGGUUGGGAGAGGCAUACAGGGAGUUUAAAAUAUAUUGAUAAAAUUGCAUUUCUUUCCCUGCAUGGUAGGUACAAAAGCAUCCUAUUCUUUAUACCUUACAUUUAUACUGCACAAAUUAUGUAGUAUGUAUGAAAUAGUUCAUUUAAAAACAUAUAGAACUCAUAGGGGAAAAAACUA
RNAcentral lists this long non-coding RNA (1067 nucleotides) under Pongo abelii (Sumatran orangutan). Its description in RNAcentral is "lncRNA (ENSPPYG00000032391.1)". The record is from RNAcentral. Lineage: Eukaryota; Metazoa; Chordata; Mammalia; Primates; Hominidae.